RNAcentral lists this ribosomal RNA (590 nucleotides) under Trichoderma gamsii. RNAcentral's name for it is "eukaryotic LSU rRNA". The stretch from base 211 to 364 matches the Rfam family "5.8S ribosomal RNA". The record is from RNAcentral. Lineage: Eukaryota; Fungi; Ascomycota; Sordariomycetes; Hypocreales; Hypocreaceae.
GCUUUGCUGACGCGGAGGGACAUUACCGAGUUUACAACUCCCAAACCCAAUGUGAACCAUACCAAACUGUUGCCUCGGCGGGGUCACGCCCCGGGUGCGUCGCAGCCCCGGAACCAGGCGCCCGCCGGAGGGACCAACCAAACUCUUUUCUGUAGUCCCCUCGCGGACGUUAUUUCUUACAGCUCUGAGCAAAAAUUCAAAAUGAAUCAAAACUUUCAACAACGGAUCUCUUGGUUCUGGCAUCGAUGAAGAACGCAGCGAAAUGCGAUAAGUAAUGUGAAUUGCAGAAUUCAGUGAAUCAUCGAAUCUUUGAACGCACAUUGCGCCCGCCAGUAUUCUGGCGGGCAUGCCUGUCCGAGCGUCAUUUCAACCCUCGAACCCCUCCGGGGGGUCGGCGUUGGGGAUCGGGAACCCCUAAGACGGGAUCCCGGCCCCGAAAUACAGUGGCGGUCUCGCCGCAGCCUCUCCUGCGCAGUAGUUUGCACAACUCGCACCGGGAGCGCGGCGCGUCCACGUCCGUAAAACACCCAACUUCUGAAAUGUUGACCUCGGAUCAGGUAGGAAUACCCGCUGAACUUAAGCAUAUCAAA